This is a long non-coding RNA of Suricata suricatta (meerkat), 471 nucleotides long. RefSeq lists it as uncharacterized. The record is from RefSeq and is a predicted model, not a curated record. The transcript has 2 exons. NCBI's taxonomy places the organism in Eukaryota, Metazoa, Chordata, Mammalia, Carnivora, Herpestidae.
GCCAUGUGAAGAUAGAGACAUAGGAAGAAUGCAUAUGGUAAUGAAGCUACGAGUAGAGCAAUCGGUGUCUAACCAAAGAUUGCCAAGCAUCCUCAGGAACCACCAGAAGCUAGAAGAGAGGCAUGGAAAGGAUUUUCCCUCAGAAACUCCAGUAGAAGGCAACAUUGCUGAUUCUGGACCUUCAGCCUCCUGCACUCAUUUGAUCACUGACUGGUGAACCGUUUGGGCCCACAGAGAUCUCUAGACCACCAGCUCAUGUAUUUGAAAGGCAUCUGUUUAUUUUGAAAAUGCAAAUGUGGCCUACCUCAAAGACUGACAGGCAAGAAAUGACCCACUGAGCAAGGGGAGAGGUUUCCAAUCUGGAGCCCUGUCCCUCCCUCUACCAUACCGAGAUCACUCGCUGUCAAAACCACUUAAACAAGCUCCAGGAAUCUGAGUGAAGGGCCCACAAUUAAAAUGAACAGGCUCGUA